Molecule: ribosomal RNA, 255 nt
Filed under: uncultured bacterium
Lineage: Bacteria
Description: partial 16S ribosomal RNA
Rfam family: Bacterial small subunit ribosomal RNA
Source: RNAcentral
CGGCACGGAUGCGUAACGCGUAUGCAACCUACCAUCAACAGGGGGAUAACACUGAGAAAUUGGUACUAAUACCCCAUAAUAUCUCAUGCGGCAUCGCAUGGGGUUGAAAACUCCGGUGGUUGAUGAUGGGCAUGCGUUGUAUUAGCUGGUUGGUGAGGUAACGGCUCACCAAGGCGACGAUACAUAGGGGGACUGAGAGGUUAACCCCCCACAUUGGUACUGAGACACGGACCAAACUCCUACGGAAGGCAGCAG